This 639-nucleotide ribosomal RNA is filed under the name Encarsia arabica. Its description in RNAcentral is "eukaryotic LSU rRNA". It matches the Rfam family "Eukaryotic large subunit ribosomal RNA", at positions 420 to 798 of the family's 3401-position model. Lineage: Eukaryota; Metazoa; Arthropoda; Insecta; Hymenoptera; Aphelinidae. The record is from RNAcentral.
CCUGAGAAACCCAAAAGAUCGAAUGGGGAGAUUCAUCGUCAGCCGCUUUGGCUUCCGUGUGGUUCGCGAUGAUCGGGGCCUCGGCUCUGUGUCACGCAAUCGCUGCGGUCAUGUCCGAAGUGGUCGGCGUGCACUUCUCCCCUAGUAGGACGUCGCGAUUCGUUGGGUGUCGGUUUACGGACCGGUAGGUCGUCUGGCGAGUCUCGUUCACGCGUGUACUUGUCAGACCUCUGGUUUCCCAACCGGCUGCCCGGCGAUAUAAAACGAUAAUUAAUGGUAUUGAGUCGCAUUCGUGCGUUCAGGCUCGUCGGCAGGUACGCCUCGCUCGGAUUUACGGACCUAGCGCCGUUGCCGGGUGCUUGGCGGACCGUUCGCCGACGGUGUCCUCGGACUGGCUCUAAAUAUUCGAACGAAUAUACCGAUCGGCGACGCUACUGCUUUGGGUACUUUCAGGACCCGUCUUGAAACACGGACCAAGGAGUCUAACAUGUGCGCGAGUCAUUGAGUCAAUUAAAGCUUAAAGGCGUAAUGAAAGUAAAGGUCGUCCUUACCGUCGACCGAGGGAGGAUGGCUGACGUUACGAUGUUAGCUCGCACUCCCGGGGCAUCUCGUGUUCAUUGCGAACAGAGGUGCACCCAG